CCCUUAGAUGUUCUGGGCUGCACGCGCGCUACACUGAACAGUUCAACAAGUCUUAACCUUGGCCGAUAGGUCUGGGUAAUCUUUGAACGCUGUUCGUGAUUGGGAUAGACCUUUGCAAUUAUGGGUCUUCAACGAGGAAUUCCUAGUAAACGCAAGUCAUCAGCUUGCAUUGAUUACGUCCCUGCCCUUUGUACACACCGCCCGUCGCACCUACCGAUUGAAUGGUCCGGUGAAAUCUCGGGACGGCGGCUCGGUCGCUUGCGUCCGACUGCUGAAACUUGAUUAAACCAUAUCAUUUAGAGGAAGGUGAAGUCGUANCA
This 320-nucleotide ribosomal RNA is filed under the name uncultured eukaryote. RNAcentral's name for it is "partial 18S ribosomal RNA". It matches the Rfam family "Eukaryotic small subunit ribosomal RNA", at positions 1470 to 1796 of the family's 1831-position model. The record is from RNAcentral.